CAGGACGAACGCUGGCGGCGUGCCUAAUACAUGCAAGUCGAACGGUCUUUCUAUGGAAGCUUGCUUCCACUGAGAAGAUAGUGGCGAACGGGUGAGUAACACGUGGGUAACCUGCCCAUGAGAGGGGGGAUAACAUCCGGAAACGGGUGCUAAUACCGCAUAGUUUUCUUGAUCGCAUGAUCGGGAAAGGAAAGACGGCCUUUGUGCUGUCGCUUAUGGAUGGACCCGCGGCGUAUUAGUUAGUUGGUGAGGUAACGGCUCACCAAGACGAUGAUACGUAGCCGACCUGAGAGGGUGAUCGGCCACAUUGGGACUGAGACACGGCCCAAACUCCUACGGGAGGCAGCAGUAGGGAAUCUUCCGCAAUGGACGAAAGUCUGACGGAGCAACGCCGCGUGAGUGAAGAAAAGGUUUUCGGAUCGUAAAACUCUGUUGUCAGAGAAGAACAAGUUGGAGAGUAACUGCUCCAGCCUUGACGGUAUCUGACCAGAAAGCCACGGCUAACUACGUGCCAGCCGCUGC
RNAcentral lists this ribosomal RNA (522 nucleotides) under uncultured bacterium. RNAcentral describes it as "bacterial SSU rRNA". It matches the Rfam family "Bacterial small subunit ribosomal RNA", at positions 25 to 518 of the family's 1533-position model. The record is from RNAcentral.